AUUGAACGCUGGCGGAAUGCUUUACACAUGCAAGUCGAACGGCAGCACGGGUGCUUGCACCUGGUGGCGAGUGGCGAACGGGUGAGUAAUACAUCGGAACGUACCCAGUUAUGGGGGAUAACUAACCGAAAGGUUAGCUAAUACCGCAUACGCCCUGAGGGGGAAAGCGGGGGACCGUAAGGCCUCGCGUAAUUGGAGCGGCCGAUGUCUGAUUAGCUAGUUGGUGAGGUAAAGGCUCACCAAGGCGACGAUCAGUAGCAGGUCUGAGAGGAUGAUCUGCCACACUGGAACUGAGACACGGUCCAGACUCCUACGGGAGGCAGCAGUGGGGAAUUUUGGACAAUGGGCGAAAGCCUGAUCCAGCCAUUCCGCGUGAGUGAAGAAGGCCUUCGGGUUGUAAAGCUCUUUCGGCAGGGAAGAAACGCUCUGGGAUAAUACUCCGGGGUAAUGACGGUACCUGAAGAAGAAGCACCGGCUAACUACGUGCCAGCCGCCGCCGUAA
RNAcentral lists this ribosomal RNA (502 nucleotides) under uncultured bacterium. RNAcentral describes it as "partial 16S ribosomal RNA". It matches the Rfam family "Bacterial small subunit ribosomal RNA", at positions 30 to 523 of the family's 1533-position model. The record is from RNAcentral.